GGAUGAACGCUAGCUACAGGCUUAACACAUGCAAGUCGAGGGGCAGCAUGGUCUUAGCUUGCUAAGGCCGAUGGCGACCGGCGCACGGGUGAGUAACACGUAUCCAACCUGCCGUCUACUCUUGGACAGCCUUCUGAAAGGAAGAUUAAUACAAGAUGGCAUCAUGAGUCCGCAUGUUCACAUGAUUAAAGGUAUUCCGGUAGACGAUGGGGAUGCGUUCCAUUAGAUAGUAGGCGGGGUAACGGCCCACCUAGUCUUCGAUGGAUAGGGGUUCUGAGAGGAAGGUCCCCCACAUUGGAACUGAGACACGGCCCAAACUCCUACGGGAGGCAGCAGUGAGGAAUAUUGGUCAAUGGGCGCAGGCCUGAACCAGCCAAGUAGCGUGAAGGAUGACUGCCCUAUGGGUUGUAAACUUCUUUUAUAAAGGAAUAAAGUCGGGUAUGGAUACCCGUUUGCAUGUACUUUAUGAAUAAGGAUCGGCUAACUCCGUGCCAGCAGCCGCGGUAAUACGGAGGAUCCGAGCGUUAUCCGGAUUUAUUGGGUUUAAAGGGAGCGUAGAUGGAUGUUUAAGUCAGUUGUGAAAGUUUGCGGCUCAACCGUAAAAUUGCAGUUGAUACUGGAUAUCUUGAGUGCAGUUGAGGCAGGCGGAAUUCGUGGUGUAGCGGUGAAAUGCUUAGAUAUCACGAAGAACUCCGAUUGCGAAGGCAGCCUGCUAAGCUGCAACUGACAUUGAGGCUCGAAAGUGUGGGUAUCAAACAGGAUUAGAUACCCUGGUAGUCCACACGGUAAACGAUGAAUACUCGCUGUUUGCGAUAUACUGCAAGCGGCCAAGCGAAAGCGUUAAGUAUUCCACCUGGGGAGUACGCCGGCAACGGUGAAACUCAAAGGAAUUGACGGGGGCCCGCACAAGCGGAGGAACAUGUGGUUUAAUUCGAUGAUACGCGAGGAACCUUACCCGGGCUUAAAUUGCAGAUGAAUUACGGUGAAAGCCGUAAGCCGCAAGGCAUCUGUGAAGGUGCUGCAUGGUUGUCGUCAGCUCGUGCCGUGAGGUGUCGGCUUAAGUGCCAUAACGAGCGCAACCCUUGUUGUCAGUUACUAACAGGUUCCGCUGAGGACUCUGACAAGACUGCCAUCGUAAGAUGUGAGGAAGGUGGGGAUGACGUCAAAUCAGCACGGCCCUUACGUCCGGGGCUACACACGUGUUACAAUGGGGGGUACAGAGGGCCGCUACCACGCGAGUGGAUGCCAAUCCCCAAAACCUCUCUCAGUUCGGACUGGAGUCUGCAACCCGACUCCACGAAGCUGGAUUCGCUAGUAAUCGCGCAUCAGCCACGGCGCGGUGAAUACGUUCCCGGGCCUUGUACACACCGCCCGUCAAGCCAUGGGAGCCGGGGGUACCUGAAGUGCGUAACCGCGAGGAGCGCCCUAGGGUA
This 1433-nucleotide ribosomal RNA is filed under the name uncultured organism. RNAcentral's name for it is "16S ribosomal RNA". It matches the Rfam family "Bacterial small subunit ribosomal RNA". The record is from RNAcentral.